Molecule: long non-coding RNA, 623 nt
Filed under: Numida meleagris (helmeted guineafowl)
Lineage: Eukaryota; Metazoa; Chordata; Aves; Galliformes; Numididae
Description: lncRNA (ENSNMEG00000002879.1)
Source: RNAcentral
AUACCCCGAUAUCUGGGUGAGGACCCCAGUGCCUUCAGUGGGACCCCAACAUCUGGAUAGGGACCCCAGUGUCCUCAUGGGGACCCCAACAUCUGGAUGAGGACCCCAACAUCUGGGCGAUGACCCCAAUAUCUGGGCGAGGACCCCAGUGCUUUCAUGGGACCCCCAACGCGUGGAUGGGGACCCCAACAUGGGUAUGGAGACCCCGAAAUCCGGGUGAGGACCCCAAAGCCUUCAGUGGGAUCCCAAUGUCCAGGUGGGGACCCCAACAUCUGGGGGGACCCCAACAUCUGGACUGGGACCUUAGUGUCCAGGUGGGGACCCCAACAUCUGGGUGGGGGGGACCCCAACAUCUGGACCGGGGCCUUAGUGUCCAGGUGGGGACCCCAACAUCUGGGUGGGGGGGACCCCAACAUCUGGACCGGGACCUCAAUGUCCAGGUGGGGACCCCAACAUCUGGGGGAGGGGGACCCCAACAUCUGGAUGGGGACCCUGAUGUCCGGGCCGUGCCUUCUGUUCCCAAGUGCCCUCAAUAAAGUGUGGUGCCGCGGUGAUAUCGGUGUCCGAGGGGGGGGGCGGGGGUGGGACACGUGCAAACACACGCAUGUGCACAAGAGCUCACG